This 408-nucleotide ribosomal RNA is filed under the name Triticum aestivum (bread wheat). RNAcentral describes it as "partial small subunit ribosomal RNA". Lineage: Eukaryota; Viridiplantae; Streptophyta; Magnoliopsida; Poales; Poaceae. The record is from RNAcentral.
AUGUGGCUUAUUCCAACAAACGUCUACGACGUCGACGACUGCAUCCCGCCGCACGUCGACCACCACGACUUCCUCCGCCCCUUCUGCACCGCCUCCUUCCUUACCGAGGCGCCCAUCCUCUUCGGCAAGGACAUGCGGGUGGUCGCCCCUGAGGAGUUCUCCGCCGCCGCCUCCAUCCCGCUGCCUGUGGGGUCCGUGCUUGUGCUCAACGGCAACGGCGCCAAUGUCGCCAAGCACUGCGUCCCCGCCGUGCCAGCCAAGAGGAUCUCCAUCACGUUUUGGAAGAUGGACGCCUCCAAGGUCCCGUUCGGCUUCCGGCCUGACCCGCUGCUGCAGAGCCUCGCGGCUGCUGCGGUCCGGCCGGCGGCUGCUGGGAGCGCACCCCCUAGCAGAGCAGCCUGGGAGUAG